AUUGAACGCUGGCGGCAGGCCUAACACAUGCAAGUCGAGCGGAUGAAGGGAGCUUUCUCCUGGAUUCAGCGGCGGACGGGUGAGUAAUGCCUAGGAAUCUGCCUUGUAGUGGGGGAUAACGUCCGUAAACGGGCGCUAAUACCGCAUACGUCCUGAUGGAGAAAGUGGGGGAUCUUCGGACCUCACGCUAUCAGAUGAGCCUAGGUCGGAUUAGCUAGUUGGUGGGGUAAAGGCCUACCAAGGCGACGAUCCGUAACUGGUCUGAGAGGAUGAUCAGUCACACUGGAACUGAGACACGGUCCAGACUCCUACGGGAGGCAGCAGUGGGGAAUAUUGGACAAUGGGCGAAAGCCUGAUCCAGCCAUGCCGCGUGUGUGAAGAAGGUCUUCGGAUUGUAAAGCACUUUAAGUUGGGAGGAAGGGCAGUAAGUGAAUACCUUGCUGUUUUGACGUUACCAACAGAAUAAGCACCGGCUAACUUCGUG
RNAcentral lists this ribosomal RNA (484 nucleotides) under uncultured bacterium. Its description in RNAcentral is "partial 16S ribosomal RNA". It matches the Rfam family "Bacterial small subunit ribosomal RNA", at positions 30 to 507 of the family's 1533-position model. The record is from RNAcentral.